GCAUAUGACUACUGGCAGGAUCAACCAGGUAGCAUUCCUCAUUCGACAUCAACAACGCAUGAGACAAUCCACAAGGGUUCGUUCAACACGUGCAUGAUUGUCGUUCGCACAAAGCGUGGGACGCUCAAUUUGGGGCAACCAAAGGUUUCAGUGACCUUGAACCCGCUCAAUGUUCCGUACCCGAGAGACCACGCACAACAUCAUGGUUCAACAAUCCAAGCACACUUAAGUGGCGUGAAAAGUGAAACACAAUGAGUGCUACAAAGUCCGCCCAACGCCUCAUCCGAAAGGUUCAACGAUGGACGGAUGACCGAAGAUUCCAACAAACGAAUGCCCUCAAAAUUAGGAACGCAGCACAAGAAACCAAAACAGGCAAGACAUGGGCAAUCCGACAACUGAAAAGCAAUGCAAGACACAUUGUCGCUGCGCGAGCAGGGAUCCAACGUGCCAAUACAAACCAAACACCACUCA
RNAcentral lists this unclassified non-coding RNA (471 nucleotides) under Odontites pyrenaeus. RNAcentral describes it as "partial external transcribed spacer". The record is from RNAcentral. Lineage: Eukaryota; Viridiplantae; Streptophyta; Magnoliopsida; Lamiales; Orobanchaceae.